RNAcentral lists this ribosomal RNA (433 nucleotides) under uncultured bacterium. RNAcentral describes it as "partial 16S ribosomal RNA". It matches the Rfam family "Bacterial small subunit ribosomal RNA", at positions 29 to 507 of the family's 1533-position model. The record is from RNAcentral.
AACGAACGCUGGCGGCAGGCCUAACACAUGCAAGUCGAGCGAGGACUUCGGUCCUAGCGGCGGACGGGUGAGUAACGCGUGGGAACGUGCCCUUUGCUUCGGAAUAGCUCUGGGAAACUGGGAUUAAUACCGGAUGAGCCCUUUGGGGGAAAGAUUUAUCGGCGAAGGAUCGGCCCGCGUUGGAUUAGGUAGUUGGUCGGGUAAUGGCCUACCAAGCCGACGAUCCAUAGCUGGUUUGAGAGGAUGAUCAGCCACACUGGGACUGAGACACGGCCCAGACUCCUACGGGAGGCAGCAGUGGGGAAUCUUAGACAAUGGGGGAAACCCUGAUCUAGCCAUGCCGCGUGAGCGAUGAAGGCCUUAGGGUUGUAAAGCUCUUUCAGCUGGGAAGAUAAUGACGGUACCAGCAGAAGAAGCCCCGGCUAACUCCGUG